UACGGGGGGGGGCAAGCGUUGUUCGGACUUACUGGGCGUAAAGCGCGUGUAGGCGGCCCGGUAAGUCCGCUGUGAAAGUCGGGGGCUCAACCCUCGGAUGCCGGUGGAUACUGUCGGGCUCGAGUACGGAAGAGGCGAGUGGAAUUCCUGGUGUAGCGGUGAAAUGCGCAGAUAUCAGGAGGAACACCAAUUGCGAAGGCAGCUCGCUGGGACGUAACUGACGCUGAGACGCGAAAGCGUGGGGAGCAAACAGG
RNAcentral lists this ribosomal RNA (254 nucleotides) under uncultured bacterium. RNAcentral describes it as "partial 16S ribosomal RNA". It matches the Rfam family "Bacterial small subunit ribosomal RNA", at positions 524 to 776 of the family's 1533-position model. The record is from RNAcentral.